UUGUAUUCGCUGCUUGGUUUGUCACUCAGAUUGGAGGCCCCUCCCACACUGUAUAUAUUCUCCUCAGAGGGUGCAGUGAGGCCCUGCAGCACUCUCACUUCUUCUCAGCUCCAUUUGACUGACUACAUCUGCAAAGAUGACUGGCACGAGAUAAAGAACAUCUCCUU
This is a long non-coding RNA of Notothenia coriiceps (black rockcod), 167 nucleotides long. RefSeq lists it as uncharacterized. Lineage: Eukaryota; Metazoa; Chordata; Actinopteri; Perciformes; Nototheniidae. The transcript has 3 exons. The record is from RefSeq and is a predicted model, not a curated record.